Caenorhabditis elegans is the source of this 50-nucleotide non-coding RNA. The record is from Ensembl. NCBI's taxonomy places the organism in Eukaryota, Metazoa, Nematoda, Chromadorea, Rhabditida, Rhabditidae.
GAUAUAUGUACAUGACAAGUGAGAGGGCAGGAUUUUGGAAGCAAAAAUAG